UACGGAGGGUGCGAGCGUUGUCCGGAAUCACUGGGCGUAAAGGGCGCGUAGGCGGCUUUUUAAGGGUGCGGUGAAAGCCCGGGGCUUAACCCCGGGUCGGCCGUGCCGACUGAAAAGCUGGAGCACUGUAGAGGCAGGUGGAAUUCCGGGUGUAGCGGUGGAAUGCGUAGAGAUCCGGAAGAACACCGAUGGCGAAGGCAGCCCCCUGGGCUAACACUGACGCUCAUGCACGAAAGCGUGGGGAGCAAACAGG
Molecule: ribosomal RNA, 253 nt
Filed under: uncultured bacterium
Lineage: Bacteria
Description: partial 16S ribosomal RNA
Rfam family: Bacterial small subunit ribosomal RNA
Source: RNAcentral